UAAUGACAUAUUUCAUUAAUAUUGGUGUGGAAGAACAUCAUAGACCUAUACAAAAUGACAAAAUCCCCUGUUAUGAGAUCAACUUGGAGAAUACAUAUCCACAGCCCUAUACAAAAUCACAUCAUCACUGUAAAUAGAAGAUUUUUGCAGUUACAAUAUGAUGCCUGCAUUCACGGUUACAAAACUAAGACUAAAUACCAUAACCACUUCCACUUGUCAAAAUACAUAAGAAUUUCCAUUUACAAAUCCAUCACCACAUGCAAUACACAAAAUACAAAAGUUUAAAUCAUUCUUCUUUAGUUUGUUGAAGGGUGACCAUCUUUAGUUUGUCUUGGACUUUUGAAUGGCCGUGUCUUCUUCUGUGAACACAAAGUUACCAUUUUUCACAUCAGUAAUUUGAAAAUGAAAGUUUGAAAAAAUACAUUUAUAUUGAUUUGUUUAAGUUAUCACACUACCCUUGCUGUCAUCUUGGCUCUUGUAGGCCUAACUUAUUGGGAGGUGAUUGGUGCAUUGGGUAUUGGCUGUGAUGCACUGUCCAUCAUGUUCCCUUUGGUUCUUUUUCUUGAAAAGUUUUCAAAUGCCCACCAAAAAUGUAAUGAGAUAUGAAAAAUGCUAUAAAGAGACUUUAUCAUGUCCAAAUUAUGCUUUUUUUGGUUGUAGCGAAUACCUCAGAUCUUGGAGUUGGCUGUGAGCUUGGAGCUUACUUAUAUUGCCUUUCACCCUGACUAUUGGAAAAACCAUGCAAACCCUUAGCUUGUUUCCUUUUCCUGACUCUCCUUUAUCCAGGUGUUUCACCUAUCCAGUAGCAGUGCAACCCCUUACAAUGUGUCCUUCUUUUCCACAAUUACCACAAGUCAUUUUAGUCCCUGCCCUCGAAACCCUGAAUGGAUUUCUUACUUCAUCAAGCUAUCUAAUUCUCUUCUUUCUGGGUUUUCCUACUGUUUUCCUUACAAUUGGAGGAUAUAUGUCAUUCAAUUUUGUUCUUUCCCAUUCCUCUUUACUUGGCACAGGAUAUUUGACAUGUUUGUAAACUGCCAAGCAAAUAUACUUAAGAUAAUAACUAUGCCCAUAAUCCUCUGGCUUCUCCUUGUUAGCAUAUAUUGCAGAAAUGCUAUGCUUACAUGGGAUUCUUAACAAAUCCCAUGUUCUACAGCUGCAACUGUGUGAAUUGAGGUCAAUAAAAUGUUGAGCGUCAUAGAAAUUAACUUGAUAUCUCCUUUCCCCACAAGGUGUGCAAAAAUAAUUCCUUGCUUCGUAUUUGUAUUUCUUCAGUAAGUCUUGAAUGUUAGGACAUAUAUCACCCUCAUACCUCAACAUCCCACUAUAUUUGACAUGAAAACAUUUCAUUAAUCUACUUCUUAUCCAUUCAAGCAUGCUCAAUAUUUGCAUGUCCCUAGUAGGCUUGAUCAAUGAAUUAAAGCUCUCAUUAAUGUUAUUCUAAAGUGCAUCACAUUUGGUGCUAGUUGAGAAAAAUGCCCUUGUCCAACGCCUUGCAUCUUUGUUCGGUAGCCAAUCAUGAGCAUUAACAUCAAAAUCCUUGAUUGCACUUAAUGCAGUAUUAAAGGAUUUCUCUGUCCCAGCACCUGCAGCAUACCACAUCUUGUUCUUGUAUUCCAAGCCUCUAUAUAACUUUUUGUAGUUUUCAUAUAGAUGCUUGACACAAUGUCUAUAAUCCACACCUGGCAUCAACUCAUUAAAAGCCGCAACCAAUCCCUACAUAAAACAGAGUAUUAAAAAUAUCAACAUAUUUAAUACAAAUAUAAAUGCAAAAUUAUAAUGAUAGUUAAUAUGCAUACAAAAUAGAGCAUGUGUGAUUCUCAUACCUUUUCUUGGUCUAAAAUGAAAACCCAACCUGUUUCAGGAGGAUGCCCAAAGUCUUCAAAUAGAUUGGUUAUAAACCACCUCUAAGAUUUCUUGCAUUCUAUAUUAACAGUAGCAAUAGCAAUUGGAAAAAGAUUCUCAUUUCCAUCCCUUCCAAUAGCACACAAGUGUUUUCUUCCCAUUGAGGUCUUCAAGUGACAGCCAUCUAAACCAAUAAUGGGUCUCAAACCAGCUAAAAACCUUUUUUCUUUGCAUUCAACUUGAUAUGCAUAUAUUGGAAGAUAGGGACUAGAUUUUUUAUGCUACUUUGAGGUUGCUCAUUUUCCACUUCUAAACCCACAAUAAGUGUGUCAUAUAACUGUUUAUCCAUAACAUUACACUCAAUUUUAACACAUGAACCUGGAUUAUUUGCCCUUAUUAUGGCAGCAUAAUCAUGAAGUCUAGUGUCUUGCAAUUUCACAUCACCUUCAAUUAUCUUCUUCGUUUUCCUUUUAGCUCUGUAGCGUGCUUGCAGUGACACCUCUGCUCCUACCUCCCUUUGAAUCCUCUUUCUCGUUGCAGUGACAUCCCAAUCAUGAUUAUACCUCAAAUUAUUUAAAUAUUUCUUUGCCAAGUAUUGAGAGUUCACUAAAUUGUUUUCAAAAUGCCUAGGAUAUUCAUGCUUGUGUUUGAAGCUUUUAAUUUGGGAUGCGGUACUCCUCCCCAUUAAAGAAGCAUGCUACCUAAACACAUACUUAUCUUUACAUAUUAUAAUAAUCCUCUUACUGCUAUUCUUCAAAUAAAUGUAACUAAAUCCCCUUCUAAGAGCCCAUUCCUUAAAUUUCAUGCCCUCACAUAAUUAUGGAUCAUGCAUUCCAUUUGUCACAUCAAAAUCUGGAUGCACCUCAUUUUCAUCAUCACUCCCUUGAAUGCUAUGCAACUCCUUAUUAUCUUCUGCUACUUCAUUGAAUUUUGCAAAAUCUUCUUUAUUCAAAUCAUUACUUCCACUUUCCCUUGGAAUUGAUUCAGAUUGUUACUUUCUGUCAACAUUCAUAGUUGAAUCACCUACUGGGACAUUGAUGAAAAUGUCAUUGUCACUUCCCUCCAUAUUGUCAUACAACCAGCUUGCCUCACUACAACUAGAAUGAUUAGAAUCAACAUUAGAUGAAAAUUGCUCCCCCCACACAAGUUCAUAUUCACUCCCACUAAAGUCAUCAGUCCAAACCUCAGUUUCAUCUUAAUGAUUUACCCCAUCCUUACAUCAUCAAACACAUUUUCUCCUUCCCUUCCAUUAAUUUUCACUCUCUCUACAUUUGUAGCAUCUUUUCCCUUUACAAAUUCAUUUGAAUUGGAAUCUACUACAGAAGCACCCAUGUCUCUAUUAUUUGCAUCUAAAUUUAUCACAUCAGAAGCAUCAAACAAAGUAAUAGGGACCACUGCUUCUACUAGGUACACUUCAAUGUCUCCCUUCCCUUUGUUAUAAUCUAACAUGUUUGCAACAUUUGCAUCAUUCAACACUUCUUCAUAACUUUCUGGCCCAGAUAACCCAGAUAUCUUGAACCAAAUUUGAGCUCCAUUUUUGUAUCCCAACUCUUUAGGAUACCCAAGAAUUUCAAUCAUUGAUAGAUAAUCGAUGUCAAUAUCACUGUAAUAUGCAAUUCGUCUCACUCAUAUACCAUUUUAUCCCUACUCUGCCAAUGCCCCCCAUGGUAGAUUUCCAAAGUAACAAUUCCAGUCAUUUUCCCUUGUCAAAUGCAUGCACAUAUUUAGAUACACAAUAAGGUAUAAUUUGUAUCUACCAAAACUAAAUCAAAAUUCAUUCACCUUCAUAUUUAAAACCCAUUAUGUAAGUGUAAAAGAGAACAUAUAACAGUUUAAUAACUACCAGUAAACACAAUCCACAACCAAAACCCGAUUACUGUACAACCCCCUUUCGCAACCCAACCCAAAUACCAUCGCAUCCAAAUACAGACCCAAACUCGAUAUGCAUUUAAGAAAAUUGAAUAAAAUAUUUAAAAACAUACCUUCACCCUCGCGUAACAGUAAGAAUUCUUGAAAGGGAGAGGAUUGCCCCCACACUUUGUCCAAAAACACCAAAUUUGUGCUCAAAUUGUAAUACCCUUGCAAAUAAUUGCCCUAUUUUUACGAUUAAUCAAAGAAAUCAAUGGAUGUAAUAAGAAAAAUUUGGGAAAUUUGAUUUAGACAUUUAGAAGAGGAGUUGAUAGGGUUUAGAGAGAAA
Molecule: unclassified non-coding RNA, 4039 nt
Filed under: Hevea brasiliensis (rubber tree)
Lineage: Eukaryota; Viridiplantae; Streptophyta; Magnoliopsida; Malpighiales; Euphorbiaceae
Source: RNAcentral